GGCAGCGCGCGCGCGCCAAGCCGCCCUCUUAAAGGGCCAGUGGACACCGGGCUCUUAAAGGGCCAGCGCACGGUGGGCGCCCCCCGCGGGGGGCGGGGGGGGCUCGGGCCGGGGCCCGCGGGGUGGCGGGCGGCCGGUGUGACGCGUGGGCCGGUUCGCCGGGAGGGCGAGAGCAGGGUGGGCUGCGGGGCCGGGGCGCCAUGGCUCGCGGCCGGGCCCGGACGCCGUCCCGGAGCAGGAGCCGGAGCAGGAGCCGGAGCCGGAGCCGGCGGGAGAGGAAGGCGAAGAGGCGGCGGCGAAGCAGCAGGGAGCCGUCCGGCGGCAGCCGCUCCCCGGCGAGGCCGCGGCGCUCCGGGUCCCGCUCGGCGGCGGCUCGGCGCGGAAGGAAGAAAGGAGGAAAGGCCAAAAAGCAGAGGAGGGCGAGUACGUCAUCUUCUGGGCCAGCGUCCUCCUCCGCCAGCUCCUCCGCGUCCUCGACGUCCUCCAGCUCCUCUUCGGACGACUCCAGCGACAGCGACGCCAAACCGAGGAAGAGGCGGCACAGCAAAAAGAAGCAGGUGAAAGACAAAAAGAGGAAGAAGAAAAGGAUAAAAAAGAAACUGAAAAAGAAGUCGAAGGAGAGGGCUAAGGAGGAGAGCGCCAAGGGGGACGCGGUGCCUGGCCCCUCGCUGGAGCAGUGGCAGAAGGAGGCGCUGAUGGACGCCGGGCCAGUUUUGACAGAUGAGCAAAAAUCCCGAAUCCAGGCGAUGAAGCCAAUGACGAAGGAAGAGUGGGACGCGAGGCAGAGUGUCAUAAGGAGAGUCGUGGAUCCCGAAACGGGCAGAACAAGGCUUAUUAAGGGAGACGGCGAAGUGCUGGAAGAAAUCGUCAGCAAAGAGCGACACAAGGAGAUCAACAAGCAGGCCACCCGUGGGGACGGGCUGGCCUUUCAGGCGCGCACGGGGAUGCUGCAGUGACGGCGCCGGCUCCGGCUCGGCCCGUCCUGCCUGCGAGACGCCGGCCCGCGCGGGACGCCGCCGGUUUCCUCCGCGCCGAUGAGCUGGAGCCAGGCGGGCUGGAACGCCGCGGGCAGCCUCUAUCGCUCCUAAGCAGGCGGAGAGCAGCCUUCUCGCAUCUUUAAUCGGGGUCACGCACGACGACGCUGCACGCGAAGUGCACCGAGGCGCGGGGCUGACAGCGAGGCGGAGACGGGAGGAGCGCAGAAGGUCCGUCGCACGCGAGCGCGGGCGGCCGCUCGCCUGGGGCCCCCGGCGCGCCUGCCAGCGGCUCCCUCCGCCCCGCUGGUACCCCUAGAGCAACUUUUUAUAAAUCAAAGAUAACUAACAUCACAGAAUCUAAAACUGACAGUGAAGGAUAUCAAGAGGCAGAGGGCACGAGGGCAGAAGGGGGCUGUAAGGCUUCUAGCACUAAGAGGCGCUGCAGCAAACGGCAGCGACACCCGAAGAAGGGGCUGCUGCCGCUGCAAGCACGGGGGCCCAGCGGCUGUUACCCUCCUGCUCUCGGCUCGUGCAUUGGACACUGUAAACAUUUUUGGCAUUUAAAUUUUGCCUCGUCUGACUGAGGAAGCGAGCAAAAACCAGGAAAAGAAGCUGACGUGAGUGCACGGGUCUUUUUCUUCUUUUUUUUGGAAAAGGCUUUAAAGGGACCAAUACUUCCAAUAUAAAAAACUGCUUUUUAUAAAAAUAAUAAUAAUAAUCUGAGCUCUGCAGAA
This is an RNA transcript of Rhea pennata, 1711 nucleotides long. It is a transcript of the gene named ADP ribosylation factor like GTPase 6 interacting protein 4, with no coding region annotated. The record is from RefSeq and is a predicted model, not a curated record. Lineage: Eukaryota; Metazoa; Chordata; Aves; Rheiformes; Rheidae. The transcript is spliced from 6 exons.